This 447-nucleotide ribosomal RNA is filed under the name uncultured bacterium. RNAcentral's name for it is "partial 16S ribosomal RNA". It matches the Rfam family "Bacterial small subunit ribosomal RNA", at positions 339 to 795 of the family's 1533-position model. The record is from RNAcentral.
CUACGGGCUGCAGCAGUCAGGAAUAUUGGGCAAUGGACGAAAGUCUGACCCAGCGAUGCCGCGUGCAGGAAGAAGCCCUUCGGGGUGUAAACUGCUUUUGCGUGGGAACAAGCCGCAAGGCUGAGCGUACCACGAGAAUAAGGGGUUGCUAACUCUGUGCCAGCAGCAGCGGUAAUACAGAGACCUCAAGCGUUACCCGGAUUUACUGGGCCUAAAGCGUCCGCAGGCGGUUUCACACAUCUCCUGUUAAAUCCGUGCGCUCAACGUACGGGCCGCAGGAGAGAUGGUGAAGCUAGAGGCCGGGAGAGGCGAGUGGAAUUACCGGUGUAGGGGUAAAAUCCGUUCAUAUCGGUAAGAACACCAAAGGCGAAAGCAGCUCGCUAGAACGGUCCUGACGCUCAUGGACGAAAGCGUGGGGAGCAAAAAGGAUUAGAUACCCGUGUAGUC